CGGAUUGUAGUCUGCAACCCGACUACAUGAAGCCGGAAUCGCUAGUAAUCGCGGAUCAGAAUGCCGCGGUGAAUACGUUCCCGGGUCUUGUACACACCGCCCGUCACACCAUGGGAGUCGGGAAUGCCCGAAGUCAGUGACCCAACCUUAGGGAGGGAGCUGCCGAAGGCAGGCCUGGUGACUGGGGUGAAGUCGUAACAAGGUAUC
Molecule: ribosomal RNA, 207 nt
Filed under: uncultured bacterium
Lineage: Bacteria
Description: partial 16S ribosomal RNA
Rfam family: Bacterial small subunit ribosomal RNA
Source: RNAcentral